RNAcentral lists this long non-coding RNA (521 nucleotides) under Homo sapiens (human). RNAcentral's name for it is "HSALNT0398692". The record is from RNAcentral. Lineage: Eukaryota; Metazoa; Chordata; Mammalia; Primates; Hominidae.
GACAGGAACGUGGCGUGGAACCCAGCAGGGCCCUGGCGGUGACCCCGGGAUGAGGAAGCUCUGUUUACCUAAAUGAAAAGCUUUCUAGGAGGAAGUCCUAAGUGAACAAUGAUGCAUGAGGAUGCAAUCUUACAGGCAAGGAGCCCAGUGAUAACAAAUGGCUGUAGAUGCUUUUCCUCCAUCAAGCUUCCAGGAGGAGAUGAGAUGGAGCCCAUCGCUGAGCCAAGGUCACCAGCCCCAUUUCACAAAUGUAAAUAGCAGGUGUCCCCCACACAGUCUGAACACUUGGAGGCCAAGAUUCAUUUCUCUCAGGGCCCACCAUCCUCAAGCAUGGGAUUGAUUUAGUGCCUCUUGCUGGGAAGCAAAGUUCUGGGAGCCAUAGUGGGAUCCUCCCUCCCUCCCUGCAGGAGACUGGGGCCCUUCCAAGCAGCAACUGAGACCAGUCAACAACCUCUGCCUUAGGCCAGGCGCGGUGGCUCACGCCUGUAAUCCCAACACUUUGGGAGGCUGAGGCGGGCAGA